This is a long non-coding RNA of Drosophila novamexicana, 322 nucleotides long. RefSeq lists it as uncharacterized. The transcript has 3 exons. The record is from RefSeq and is a predicted model, not a curated record. Lineage: Eukaryota; Metazoa; Arthropoda; Insecta; Diptera; Drosophilidae.
CUUGCGGCACACCCAGAAGAGGCUCUGGUAUUCGCUUUGCUUCAUCGAUAGCGGAUUCUGUGCAUAUUUGAUCCUCGUACGUUGGCUCAAUGCUGUUCUGGCCAUUGAUGUCGCUAUAGUGAUACAGCAACGGUCCGAGAUUCACCCAAAUGCCGCCAGGCACUAGAAUUCUGCAAAGCAUUAAGUCACAAAUUAGAACAGAGCACAACGUGGAGCAACUGCAACCGCGAGACUCACUUGUAAAUGUUGUAGGCAUCCGGCGUUUUAUAGACCUCAAGGAAAUCACCAGCGGCCAUCUCGAUGUUGCCCUUGGGCGGAUUCC